AUGUCCAUCGUGUCGCAUCGCAUGGUGAAGAAGGGCGACACGGCGAUGCCGGCACAUGCAUGGGAUGGGAGGGCUAGGACGUGCUACGCUGCCGUUACCCUGACGGGGCAUCUGGUCUGGGAAUUAAGAAGCAGCUGCUCAAGGAGACUGCAUGCAGUUGAGGCACCAACCAGCGGCUUGCUUGAUUCAUCAUCCAUGGCGUCAUGGUGGGAUCUCCCCGGAGAGCUUCUACGCAUCAUCAUCGCUGGCCUCCCUGACCCGAUUAACCACGCUCGCUUCCAAGCAGUCUGCUGUUCCUGGCGGUCUGUCCCGUCUCCGCGCAAGCUACCUAGGGUCCUGCUCCCAGCAGGAUCCCUGUUGCUCCCCUUCGAGAUUGAGAGCGCCCCCCACACAAUAUUAGUGUUACCCCUCCCACAAAACCAGCGCUUCAUUGGCUCCACCCACUGUUUUCUCGCCAUCGACGUCACCGAUGCUCACAACAGCAGGCAUACAUACGUGCUCACUAAUCCUUUCUCAAGGACCAUGCUGGAGCUCCCGGAGCUUGAUCCUGUCAUCGGCAAUGUUCCCGAAACCUUUGGGAUCCACAAGGUGCUCAUGCACUCUGGCCUCCAUGGUCUCGUCGUCAUAAGGACCAACAACCGCAGUCAUCCCAUCAUCUUGCUAAACCCAGGCAAGGGUGUGUGGUUACCCAAGCCACGACAUCAACCUUUCACCUGUAUCAUCGACGACGCGUUUCUUGGAGACACGCUCUAUGCCAUCACACAGGCUGAGAACCUCAUCUCCUUUGGCGCCGCCUUUGAUACCAAGGGCAUACCCACGGUUACCGGCAUUAAGCGCGUCAUCACAAGCCCGAUUGUCGCUCUUGGGAAAGUCAAAGAUGCACUGGGAAAGCGAUCACCCAUCGACUACAUAAUUAACGACGCUCUACAGUUGGCACGCGACCAAGAGACCUCAUGUUGA
Molecule: ribosomal RNA, 960 nt
Filed under: Triticum aestivum (bread wheat)
Lineage: Eukaryota; Viridiplantae; Streptophyta; Magnoliopsida; Poales; Poaceae
Description: partial small subunit ribosomal RNA
Source: RNAcentral